CUACGUGCCAGCAGCCGCGGUAAUACGGAAGGUCCGGGCGUUAUCCGGAUUUAUUGGGUUUAAAGGGAGCGUAGGCUGGAGAUUAAGUGUGUUGUGAAAUGUAGACGCUCAAYGUCUGACUUGCAGCGCAUACUGGUUUCCUUGAGUACGCACAACGUUGGCGGAAUUCGUCGUGUAGCGGUGAAAUGCUUAGAUAUGACGAAGAACUCCGAUUGCGAAGGCAGCUGACGGGAGCGCAACUGACGCUGAAGCUCGAAGGUGCGGGUAUCGAACAGGAUUAGAUACCCUGGUAGUCCGCACAGUAAACGAUGGAUGCCCGCUGUUGGUACCUGGUAUCAGCGGCUAAGCGAAAGCAUUAAGCAUCCCACCUGGGGAGUACGCCGGCAACGGUGAAACUCAAAGGAAUUGACGGGGGCCCGCACAAGCGGAGGAACAUGUGGUUUAAUUCGAUGAUACGCGAGGAACCUUACCCGGGCUUGAA
Molecule: ribosomal RNA, 481 nt
Filed under: uncultured bacterium
Lineage: Bacteria
Description: bacterial SSU rRNA
Rfam family: Bacterial small subunit ribosomal RNA
Source: RNAcentral